RNAcentral lists this small RNA (165 nucleotides) under Gopherus agassizii (Agassiz's desert tortoise). RNAcentral's name for it is "TUC338 (ENSGAGG00000002927.1)". The record is from RNAcentral. Lineage: Eukaryota; Metazoa; Chordata; Testudines; Testudinidae.
AAGACAGAUCCAGACAUUGAAGUUCUCUUUAUCAACAGACAUGUGCAACAGCAGUGUGAGCUUCCUGCACAUCAUCCACACACAGCAGCCUGUCCCAAGCCCAGCAACGAGAGCCUGCCUCUAGGAGGAGUUCAUUCUCCAUGGCUAGUUCAAUCCUUGGCCUCU